ACACCUCAACUCUAACGGUUCACCCGUGAUGAGCUUGGACUUCUGGAGGUUUUGCUGGCCUGUGGUCGGCUCCUCUCAAAUGGAUCAGCUUACCAGUGUUUGGUGGCGCCAUGGGUGUGAUAACUAUCUACGCCUGCGGCCGUCUGCCAGGAGACCUUCAGUGAUGGGGGUUUGCUGGGGCUUACAAAUGUCUCUCCCCAGCGAGGACAGCUUAUUUAAC
This 220-nucleotide unclassified non-coding RNA is filed under the name uncultured Thelephoraceae. RNAcentral's name for it is "sequence contains ITS2". Lineage: Eukaryota; Fungi; Basidiomycota; Agaricomycetes; Thelephorales; Thelephoraceae. The record is from RNAcentral.